This is a long non-coding RNA of Girardinichthys multiradiatus, 593 nucleotides long. RefSeq lists it as uncharacterized. The record is from RefSeq and is a predicted model, not a curated record. The transcript has 3 exons. Lineage: Eukaryota; Metazoa; Chordata; Actinopteri; Cyprinodontiformes; Goodeidae.
GCUGGGGAAGCAAAUUAUGUUUUAAGAGGUGAAAAGGCUCUAAAUCAUAAUACAGAAACUCCCAUGAGCCAGCGAGGAGCUCAGGCUUCUUUUUAAAGGUCCUUCUACAUUAGCUGAGGCUGGCGUUUGCAGAGGAGGGGAGCUGUGAUUUAAAUAGGCAACCUGCUGGAUCAAAGCCUGUCUUGCUGUUCUUCUGGCUACAGGCUUUCUGCUUGCUUCACAUUUAUUGCUUGCUCAGAAAACAUGCUGCUUCCAUCAGGGUGAGGUCCUCCCGCAUUAGGACCGAGGAGCCUCGGCUAAGCAGUACCUGCAAUAACAGCUCUGACAUCACUGGCCGAGCUUUCAUAUUCGACUUUGCUAUCCCAUCGGGGUCCACUACUGGUCACCACGCAAAGGAAGCACUCUCUGGAGAAUCAGAACUUACUUCAUACCUAUUCCCAGGAGAAGAAGCCGACAACAAUGUCACACCGAGACGAAGACGUCCAGGUAGAGACGAUCGUAGGACUCCCUGAAGAAGAGGACAAGGACGAGGCUGAAGAGGCACGAACCGGUUACACACCAGUUCAGCCACGACAAGUCUGCAUGAGACAAAA